RNAcentral lists this ribosomal RNA (775 nucleotides) under uncultured Neocallimastigales. RNAcentral describes it as "partial large subunit ribosomal RNA". It matches the Rfam family "Eukaryotic large subunit ribosomal RNA", at positions 24 to 631 of the family's 3401-position model. The record is from RNAcentral. Lineage: Eukaryota; Fungi; Neocallimastigomycota; Neocallimastigomycetes; Neocallimastigales.
UAUGUGAUCGUCUCUCGCAUAUCAAUAAGCGGAGGAAAAGAAACUAACAAGGAUUCCCCUAGUAACGGCGAGUGAAGCGGGAAGAGCUCAAAUUUGAAAUCUUAAAGGGUUUCCCUUUACGAAUUGUAGUUUAAAGAAGUGUUUUCUGUUGAGGUUUUGGUAAAAGUUCUUUGGAAUAGGACAUCAUAGAGGGUGAGAAUCCCGUAUUUGACCUUUACUUUCAACUUUGUGAUACACUUUCAAAGAGUCGGAUUGUUUGGGAAUGCAGUCCAAAAUGGGUGGUAAAUUUCAAUCUAAAGCUAAAUAUUGGCGAGAGACCGAUAGCGAACAAGUACCGUGAGGGAAAGAUGAAAAGAACUUUGAAAAGAGAGUUAAACAGUACGUGAAAUUGUCAAAAGGGAAGCGUUUGACACCAGUGUUGUUUUUCUGAAAAUCAAUUAAAGAACUGUUUAUGCUAAGUUGUUUAGACUUUAUCAGCUAACUGUUUAGUUUUGAGCUUUUCUUUAAUGCACUUUUCAGUUAACAAGUCAACAUCAAUUUCUUUUGCUGUAAAAAAGCUUGAGGAAGGUGGCUUGAGAUUCGUCUUAAGUGUUUAUAGCCUCUUGCCUAUGCAGUCGGAGAGAUUGAGGUCUGCAGCGUAGAUCCUUCGGGGCUAAAUGCAUUUGUGCUAAGUUAUAGCAUUUUAUAGACAACUUGUUGACUAUGAUUUGUCUCGUAGCUUACUCGCUUAUGUUAUUUUACCUACGCUUAGGAUGUUGAUCUACAGAGCGAGAGU